Long non-coding RNA from Chinchilla lanigera (long-tailed chinchilla), 2046 nucleotides. Lineage: Eukaryota; Metazoa; Chordata; Mammalia; Rodentia; Chinchillidae. The record is from Ensembl.
GGAGCAAACAGCUUGCCAAAAGCCUGAAUAACAGGACCUCCCAAGUAGAUCUAAGCUCCUGGCAGAGCACCUUACAUCUCAAAGAGCCAUUCUUGGUGGUAGAGUGCUGCCGGAGGAGGACCCCCUGGGAAACAGGAAUAGGCAGUGUCUUCCAUGGUGACUCCCAUGAUGGACAGCAAAUAUCUGUGGCUGACUCCACACCUUGUUUUCAGUCAGAAGAACAAGAUUCUGGUUUCAGAGACAAGCUUAAACUUGAGUCAGAGCUAAAUUUGUAUCCUCUGUCCACAUUAUCAUUCAUGCAUCCUGCUCUUUAGGAAAACCAUCGGACCCUAAAAUAAAAUGUUCAGAAACAUGCAAAUGAAAAUAGCUUAAGCGCUCAGACUUUGGCAGCGUUGCCUGAGUUUGCUGUGGCCUCAGAAGGGACAAUCAUAAUAUUUUUCUGGCUGUCUUGUCUUGAUUUAUAAUUUGAAUCUCCAUAAAUGAUAAUAGAGAGGGCAAUUAUCAAAGAAAUGGAAAGGGCAAUUAUCAUUAAAUUGAAAACACAUCACACAUCCAAAAGGAUGAAUGACUGAGCUAAAAACAGAUUUUGUGGAUCUUGCAACUGUUCCAAAAGAACUUAAUCUAAGCAACUUCAUCUCCCCAUCUCCUCCAAUUAAGCAGAUGACUCUGGGUAUAUUUUCCUUUUUUUCUCUUUCCCUUGGAUGAUAAUAUAAGGCCUGUUAACCUAAUCUGCCUAAAUACUGACACUGCUUAGGAUAUCUAAGUUUAUGAGACUAAUCCAGUUGCUGUUUGCCUAGUGUGAAAGAAAGCUUUUAUUUUCCCCUUUUUUUUUUCCGGUACCGGGAUUCAAACUCAUGACCUUGCAUUUGCCAGGCAGGCACUGUGCCACUAAGCUAAAUCCCUAGCCCCCUCUUUUUUUUUUUUUCCGUAAAAACAGUAGAGAAAAUUAAUUGUUUGUGCAUUUGUGAUUCCAGGAGACUAGUCACUCCCUCGUCUGGUCUUAACCCUGGUGAUGAGUCUUUCUAAGUGAGGGAACAGCAGUAUUUUUGUUCAGCAACUGAAAUAUUAGACUGGAUUUUGAAACUCUCUUAAAAGCCUUUUGUUUCAGUCAGAUAGAUUGAAAAAAAUCAUACUGCAAACUAUAGGUGUUUGUUACCAUUACUAUGGCUACGAAAGGAACAGGUGAAUGUUUAUGAACACUUUUCCCUGAAAAUUCUUACCAUCUGGAUUUAUAAUUUUAAGAAGUAAAAUUGAAACAAAACAAAACAAAGAAGUAAAAUUGUAGUCAUUCUCUGAAGGGGUAAGGAAAGGAAGGAAGAAAUAGAAAACACCCCAAAUUACUUUUGCUAGCACUUCUGUACAAGAAUUAUAGAUACAACAUGAAUGCCAAUGUCUGCUGAAGAAAUGAACCCUAAUGAUUUGAUCCAAUCAGAUGUGAGUGCUGAAUAUAUGUUCUACCAUCUACUGCCAGGAAUAUGUAACAUGUGUGAUGAAUAUGUUCUGUUUGAAGAUACAUGAUUUUUUGUUCCACAAUUUUAUUUUAUUUAUUUAUUUUUUUUCCCAGUACCGGGAAUCGAACUCACGACCUUGAGCGUGCCAGGCAGGAGCUGUGCGGCUGAGCUAAAUCCCCCCCGCCCCCAAGCGGCAAUCUUUUUUCCAACUAGUUUUCCAGAGUAAUGUUUCUACGGAGAAAUGAUUUUGUCAUCUAGUGGUUUUACUAGUGCUGGACAUUGAACCCUGGACCUAAUGCAUGCUAAGCAUGUACUUCCCCACUGAGGACACCCCCAGCCUCACUGUAAGAAGGAUUAGAAGCUUUUUCAAAGCAAGGGAAUAGACAAAACUUUUACCCAAUAUACCCAUCAUGAAUUUUUACAAAUAUAUGUUUAUUUAAAAAUCAACAAUCUUGAUUUAAAUAUAUUAUUAAUUUACAUUUCCUAUCAUUUGGGGGAAUAAAUUAUCAUUAUCUUGGUCAAUAAAUUGGUCAAAAAUUGAAUUUAAAAUCCUAACAGUUCUAAAAAAAAAAAAAACAAAGUUUUCCCUUUAAAA